RNAcentral lists this ribosomal RNA (253 nucleotides) under uncultured bacterium. RNAcentral's name for it is "partial 16S ribosomal RNA". It matches the Rfam family "Bacterial small subunit ribosomal RNA", at positions 524 to 776 of the family's 1533-position model. The record is from RNAcentral.
UACGUAGGGUGCGAGCGUUGUCCGGAAUCACUGGGCGUAAAGCGCACGUAGGCGGAUCUUUAAGUCAGGGGUGAAAUCCUGGAGCUCAACUCCAGAACUGCCUUUGAUACUGGGGAUCUCGAGUCCGGAAGAGGUGAGUGGAACUCCGAGUGUAGAGGUGAAAUUCGUAGAUAUUCGGAAGAACACCAGUGGCGAAGGCGGCUCACUGGUCCGGUACUGACGCUGAGGUGCGAAAGCGUGGGGAGCAAACAGG